Molecule: unclassified non-coding RNA, 229 nt
Filed under: air metagenome
Description: partial contains small subunit ribosomal RNA, internal transcribed spacer 1, and 5.8S ribosomal RNA
Rfam family: Eukaryotic small subunit ribosomal RNA (bases 1-46)
Source: RNAcentral
AAGUCGUAACAAGGUCUCCGUUGGUGAACCAGCGGAGGGAUCAUUACCGAGUUUACAACUCCCAAACCCCUGUGAACAUACCUAUCGUUGCUUCGGCGGAUCCGCCCCGGCGCCCUCGGGCCCGGAUCCAGGCGCCCGCCGGAGACCACAAACUCUUGUAUUUCUUUAGUAUCUUCUGAGUAAACAAGCAAAUAAAUUAAAACUUUCAACAACGGAUCUCUUGGUUCUG